Molecule: long non-coding RNA, 532 nt
Filed under: Capsicum annuum
Lineage: Eukaryota; Viridiplantae; Streptophyta; Magnoliopsida; Solanales; Solanaceae
Description: long non-coding RNA (CANN_LNC001659)
Source: RNAcentral
GAUAUUUGAUGUUUUAGUUUAUAAACUAGAUCAUGUGUUUUUUUAGGUUUACAGCGUCUUCUAUACGAUUGCUUCUUCUCUGUUGUGUUCAUCUUACUUCUACUCGCUUUGUCUCCUUUCUCGGUGAGUCUUCAUAUUUCCUAUACAUACAAUUCUUUGAUUAGUAAUUAUGGAUUUGCUUUUUUUUUUUUUUUGUAAGAUACUUCAAUUUGGCUUUUAUAUUAUUGAUUACUUGCUUAACUUGGCCAUGACGUAGUUGUUUUAUCUUUGUUUCACCACUUAAAUUUGGUGUAGUUAUGUCGAUACUUUAAUUAGCUGUUAUGUACAUGGAUAAGCCUCAACUUGGAAUUCAGGUUUGAAUAAAAAUGCGUAUAAUAAAAGCUCGUGAUUUGACUUUUCGAAGGCUGCCUUUUUCUAUUAUAAUAAAGUGCAUCAAUUGCCUUUCCCAACUAGGUUAUCAAGAGCUUGCAAGUUACUGAAAGAAGAAGCAAGAUCAUUAGCCCAAAUACUACCCCCAUCAACUACUCUGGUG